CCUACGGGGGGCAGCAGUGGGGAAUAUUGCACAAUGGGGGAAACCCUGAUGCAGCGAUGCCGCGUGGAGGAAGAAGGUUUUCGGAUUGUAAACUCCUGUCUUAAAGGACGAAAAUGACGGUACUUUAGGAGGAAGCUCCGGCUAACUACGUGCCAGCAGCCGCGGUAAUACGUAGGGAGCGAGCGUUGUCCGGAAUUACUGGGUGUAAAGGGAGCGUAGGCGGGAUUUUAAGUCAGAUGUGAAAUACGUGGGCUCAACCUACGGGCUGCAUUUGAAACUGAAAUUCUUGAGUGAAGUAGAGGCAAGCGGAAUUCCUGGUGUAGCGGUGAAAUGCGUAGAUAUCAGGAGGAACACCGGUGGCGAAGGCGGCUUGCUGGGCUUUAACUGACGCUGAGGCUCGAAAGCGUGGGUAGCAAACAGGAUUAGAUACCCGAGUAG
RNAcentral lists this ribosomal RNA (438 nucleotides) under uncultured bacterium. RNAcentral's name for it is "bacterial SSU rRNA". It matches the Rfam family "Bacterial small subunit ribosomal RNA", at positions 338 to 793 of the family's 1533-position model. The record is from RNAcentral.